RNAcentral lists this long non-coding RNA (514 nucleotides) under Pongo abelii (Sumatran orangutan). RNAcentral describes it as "lincRNA". Lineage: Eukaryota; Metazoa; Chordata; Mammalia; Primates; Hominidae. The record is from RNAcentral.
CAAAGACAUUUUCAAAUAAGCAAAAGGUGAUAGAAUGUGUCAUCCACAGACCUGCACUAUAAAAAACAGUAGAAGAAGUUCUUCAGUAUGAAAAUGAAUGAUACAAGAUGGAAACUGAGAUCUACAAAAUGAAACAUCAUUGGAAAUAGUAAAUACAUGGGUAAGUAUAAAACAUUUUUUUCUCAUUUAAAAAGAGUAUCUUUAAGGGCAAAUUAAUUAUUUAAAUAAAAAUAAUAACUGCAUUGUACAGUUAAUAACAUAUGCAGAGGUGAAAUAUAUGAUGAGGAUCACAAACUAAGGCAGGCAGAAAUGAUAGUUUACUCUUUUAAGUUUCUUACAUUAUAUAUUAUUUGAUAUUUGAUGAAUAUUAUUUGAUGGUAGUCUGUGUUAAAAGAGGCAUACUGUAAAUCCUAACGAAACUACAAAAUAAAUAAAACUAAAUGUUAUUGUUAAUAAACCACUAGAAAAGAUAAAAUGUAACACAGAUCCUGCAUAAUUCAUCCAAACAAAAUCA